UACGGAAGAUGCGAGCGUUAUCCGGAUUUACUGGGUGUAAAGGGAGCGUAGGCGGCGGAGCAAGUCAGAAGUGAAAGCCCGGGGCUCAACCCCGUAUGGCGCUGGAAACUGUUAGGCUUGAGUGCAGGAGAGGAAAGGGGAAUUCCCAGUGUAGCGGUGAAAUGCGUAGAUAUUGGGAGGAACACCAGUGGCGAAGGCGCCUUUCUGGACUGUAACUGACGCUGAGGCUCGAAAGCUAGGGUAGCGAACGGG
RNAcentral lists this ribosomal RNA (252 nucleotides) under Phascolarctobacterium faecium. RNAcentral describes it as "partial 16S ribosomal RNA". It matches the Rfam family "Bacterial small subunit ribosomal RNA", at positions 524 to 776 of the family's 1533-position model. The record is from RNAcentral. Lineage: Bacteria; Bacillati; Bacillota; Negativicutes; Acidaminococcales; Acidaminococcaceae.